This 264-nucleotide ribosomal RNA is filed under the name Triticum aestivum (bread wheat). Its description in RNAcentral is "partial small subunit ribosomal RNA". Lineage: Eukaryota; Viridiplantae; Streptophyta; Magnoliopsida; Poales; Poaceae. The record is from RNAcentral.
AUGGUGCCGGUCUUGUCGAACGCCACGGCCCUGAUCUCGCCCAGCGACUCGAGGACGUCCCCUCCCUUGACGAGGACCCCCAUCCGCGCCGCCGUCAGGAGCGCGCAGAACGUCGCGACGGGCGUCGACAGCACCAGCGCGCACGGGCACGCGCUCACCAGCAGCACCAGCGCCAGCCUGAACCACCGCUCCGCGUCGCGCGCCCCCAGCAGCGGCGGCAGCAGCGCCACCCCUGCUCCGAGAACCACCACGGCCGGCGUGUAG